CGCGUAGGUGGUUCACUAAGUGGGAUGUGAAAGCCCAGGGCUCAACCCUGGAACUGCAUUCCAAACUGGAGAACUAGAGUACGAUAGAGGGGGGUAGAAUUCAGAGUGUAGCGGUGAAAUGCGUAGAUAUUCUGAGGAAUACCAGUGGCGAAGGCGGCCCCCUGGAUUGAUACUGACACUGAGGUGCGAAAGCGUGGGGAGCAAACA
RNAcentral lists this ribosomal RNA (207 nucleotides) under uncultured bacterium. RNAcentral describes it as "partial 16S ribosomal RNA". It matches the Rfam family "Bacterial small subunit ribosomal RNA", at positions 568 to 774 of the family's 1533-position model. The record is from RNAcentral.